RNAcentral lists this ribosomal RNA (246 nucleotides) under uncultured bacterium. Its description in RNAcentral is "partial 16S ribosomal RNA". It matches the Rfam family "Bacterial small subunit ribosomal RNA", at positions 1245 to 1500 of the family's 1533-position model. The record is from RNAcentral.
AGAAGCGAGCCUGUGAAGAGGAGCCAAACUCAAAAAACCGGUCCCAGUUCGGAUUGUAGGCUGCAACUCGCCUACAUGAAGUCGGAGUUGCUAGUAAUCGCGGAUCAGAAUGCCGCGGUGAAUGCGUUCCCGGGUCUUGUACACACCGCCCGUCACACCAUGGAAGUUGGGGGCGCCCGAAGUUGGUCGGGAAAUAGAUUACCUAAGGCGAAACCAAUGACUGGGGUGAAGUCGUAACAAGGUAAC